RNAcentral lists this ribosomal RNA (363 nucleotides) under Cranchiidae environmental sample cf. Leachia sp. RNAcentral's name for it is "partial 16S ribosomal RNA". The record is from RNAcentral. Lineage: Eukaryota; Metazoa; Mollusca; Cephalopoda; Oegopsida; Cranchiidae.
UGGUUUGACGAAGGUUAAGCUGUCUCUUUCUCAUUUUUUAGAAUUUAAUCUUCCAAGUGAAAAAGCUUAAAUUUUUUAAAGGGACGAGAAGACCCUAUUGAGCUUAUAAUUUUAGGGUUGCUUAACAUUAGUUAUUUGGGGAGCAAUUUAUAAGUUUUAAUUGGGGUGAUUAAGGAAUAAAUAAGAAAAUAAUAUAGCAACUUCCUUAGAUUGAAAUGUUGUUAAAUAAAGCAACCAAUGUUAUUAUUGCUUUUAUAAUAGUUACCAUAGGGAUAACAGCGUAAUCUGUUUAGAGAGUUCUUAUUGAAAAAUGGGAUUGCGACCUCGAUGUUGGAUUAAAGUAACCUCAGGGUGCAGAAGCUU